UAUUGGACAAUGGGCGCAAGCCUGAUCCAGCAAUGCCGCGUGAGUGAUGAAGGCCUUCGGGUCGUAAAGCUCUUUUACCAGGGAUGAUAAUGACAGUACCUGGAGAAUAAGCUCCGGCUAACUCCGUGCCAGCAGCCGCGGUAAUACGGAGGGAGCUAGCGUUGUUCGGAAUUACUGGGCGUAAAGCGCGCGUAGGCGGCUACUCAAGUCAGAGGUGAAAGCCCGGGGCUCAACCCCGGAACUGCCUUUGAAACUAGGUGGCUAGAAUCUUGGAGAGGUCAGUGGAAUUCCGAGUGUAGAGGUGAAAUUCGUAGAUAUUCGGAAGAACACCAGUGGCGAAGGCGACUGACUGACAAGUAUUGACGCUGAGGUGCGA
This 376-nucleotide ribosomal RNA is filed under the name uncultured bacterium. RNAcentral's name for it is "bacterial SSU rRNA". It matches the Rfam family "Bacterial small subunit ribosomal RNA", at positions 362 to 756 of the family's 1533-position model. The record is from RNAcentral.